This 390-nucleotide ribosomal RNA is filed under the name uncultured bacterium. RNAcentral's name for it is "bacterial SSU rRNA". It matches the Rfam family "Bacterial small subunit ribosomal RNA", at positions 30 to 418 of the family's 1533-position model. The record is from RNAcentral.
AUUGAACGCUGGCGGCAUGCCUUACACAUGCAAGUCGAACGGCAGCACGGGAGCAAUCCUGGUGGCGAGUGGCGAACGGGUGAGUAAUAUAUCGGAACGUGCCCAGUCGUGGGGGAUAACGCAGCGAAAGCUGUGCUAAUACCGCAUACGAUCUCUGGAUGAAAGCGGGGGACCUGCAAGGGCCUCGCGCGAUUGGAGCGGCCGAUAUCAGAUUAGCUAGUUGGUGGGGUAAAAGCCCACCAAGGCGACGAUCUGUAGCUGGUCUGAGAGGACGACCAGCCACACUGGAACUGAGACACGGUCCAGACUCCUACGGGAGGCAGCAGUGGGGAACUUUGGACAAUGGGCGCAAGCCUGAUCCAGCAAUGCCGCGUGCAGGAUGAAGGCCUU